RNAcentral lists this ribosomal RNA (290 nucleotides) under Salmonella enterica subsp. enterica serovar Agona. RNAcentral describes it as "partial 23S ribosomal RNA". It matches the Rfam family "Bacterial large subunit ribosomal RNA", at positions 490 to 780 of the family's 2925-position model. Lineage: Bacteria; Pseudomonadati; Pseudomonadota; Gammaproteobacteria; Enterobacterales; Enterobacteriaceae. The record is from RNAcentral. RNAcentral also lists the same sequence under 1 other name.
GUGAACCAGUACCGUGAGGGAAAGGCGAAAAGAACCCCGGCGAGGGGAGUGAAAAAGAACCUGAAACCGUGUACGUACAAGCAGUGGGAGCACAGGUUUACCUGUGUGACUGCGUACCUUUUGUAUAAUGGGUCAGCGACUUAUAUUCUGUAGCAAGGUUAACCGCAUAGGGGAGCCGGAGGGAAACCGAGUCUUAAUUGGGCGUUAAGUUGCAGGGUAUAGACCCGAAACCCGGUGAUCUAGCCAUGGGCAGGUUGAAGGUUGGGUAACACUAACUGGAGGACCGAACC